UGAUAUGAAGGUGAGUGGGUUGUACCAUCUGUCAUCCCAAUAAUCACCAGGAUCUAUUUGGAUGAUCUCACUAGUAGACUUGUGUUCCCUUUCUUUGUCAUUGUUCCACAUAAGUAUAUCUCUCUAAAAGUGGAACAACUGGUGGAAGAAGACAACCUUAACUGAUGGGCGAGGGACAGUAUUUGGUCAAGGGUAGCUGAGUAGCUGUGCUCAGCUCUCAAGAACUCAAACAGAGGGUCAAGACAUGAGUAUUUUGCUAUCUUCU
Molecule: small nuclear RNA, 265 nt
Filed under: Peromyscus maniculatus bairdii (prairie deer mouse)
Lineage: Eukaryota; Metazoa; Chordata; Mammalia; Rodentia; Cricetidae
Description: 7SK RNA (ENSPEMG00000003402.2)
Rfam family: 7SK RNA
About the family: 7SK was discovered as an abundant small nuclear RNA in the mid-70s but a possible function has only recently been suggested.
Source: Rfam by way of RNAcentral